GACGAACGCUGGCGGCGUGCUUAACACAUGCAAGUCGAACGGAAAGGCCCUGCUUUUGUGGGGUGCUCGAGUGGUGAACGGGUGAGUAACACGUGAGUAACCUGCCCUUGAUUUUGGGAUAACUUCAGGAAACUGGGGCUAAUACCGGAUAGGAGCUCCUGCUGCAUGGUGGGGGUUGGAAAGUUUCGGCGGUUGGGGAUGGACUCGCGGCUUAUCAGCGUGUUGGUGGGGUAGUGGCUUACCAAGGCAUUGACGGGUAGCCGGCCUGAGAGGGUGACCGGCCACAUUGGGACUGAGAUACGGCCCAGACUCCUACGGGAGGCAGCAGUGGGGAAUAUUGCACAAUGGGCGGAAGCCUGAUGCAGCAACGCCGCGUGCGGGAUGACGGCCUUCGGGUUGUAAACCGCUUUCGCCUGUGACGAAGCGUGAGUGACGGUAAUGAGUAAAGAAGCACCGGCUAACUACGUG
This 468-nucleotide ribosomal RNA is filed under the name uncultured bacterium. RNAcentral's name for it is "partial 16S ribosomal RNA". It matches the Rfam family "Bacterial small subunit ribosomal RNA", at positions 28 to 507 of the family's 1533-position model. The record is from RNAcentral.